Molecule: ribosomal RNA, 460 nt
Filed under: uncultured bacterium
Lineage: Bacteria
Description: partial 16S ribosomal RNA
Rfam family: Bacterial small subunit ribosomal RNA
Source: RNAcentral
CCUACGGGAGGCAGCAGUGAGGAAUAUUGGUCAAUGGGCGCGAGCCUGAACCAGCCAAGUCGCGUGAAGGAUGACGGCCCUACGGGUUGUAAACUUCUUUUUUCAGGGCGCAAUUUCGUCCACGCGUGGGCUUAGCGAGAGUACCUGAUGUAAAAGCAUCGGCAAACUCCGUGCCAGCCGCCGCGGUCAUACGUAGGAUGCGAGCGAUAUCCGGCUGUAUUGGGUUAAAAGGGUGCGUAGGCGGAAUAUCAAGUCAGCGGUAAAAAUUCGGGGCUCAACCCCGUCGUGACGUUGAAACUGAUGUUCUUGAGUGGGCGAGAAGAAUGCGGAAUGCGUGGUGUAGCGGUGAAAUGCAUAGAUAUCACGCAGAACUCCGAUUGCGAAGGCGGCAUACCGGCGCCCAACUGACGCUGAAGCACGAAAGCGUGGGUAUCGAACAGGAUUAGAUACCCCAGUAGUC